This 339-nucleotide ribosomal RNA is filed under the name uncultured bacterium. Its description in RNAcentral is "bacterial SSU rRNA". It matches the Rfam family "Bacterial small subunit ribosomal RNA", at positions 150 to 507 of the family's 1533-position model. The record is from RNAcentral.
GACGAACGCUGGCGGCGUGCCUAACACAUAGGAGUCGCAUGGCUCUUAUGCCAAAGAUUUAUCGCUGAAAGAUGGCCUCGCGUCUGAUUAGCCAGUUGGUGAGGUAACGGCCCACCAAGGCGACGAUCAGUAGCCGGACUGAGAGGUUGACCGGCCACAUUGGGACUGAGAUACGGCCCAGACUCCUACGGGAGGCAGCAGUGGGGAAUAUUGGGCAAUGGGCGAAAGCCUGACCCAGCAACGCCGCGUGAAGGAAGAAGGCCUUCGGGUUGUAAACUUCUUUUACCAGGGACGAAGAACGUGACGGUACCUGGAGAAAAAGCAACGGCUAACUACGUG